RNAcentral lists this long non-coding RNA (5031 nucleotides) under Canis lupus familiaris (dog). Its description in RNAcentral is "lncRNA (ENSCAFG00000056383.1)". The record is from RNAcentral. Lineage: Eukaryota; Metazoa; Chordata; Mammalia; Carnivora; Canidae.
CUGCGGCCCCAACCCCCCCGCCCCCCUCCCUGCGCCCUCACCGGCCAGGGGCUGACCCCGCUGGGAGGCCGGGCUUCAGCCGGGGUUAGGGAGACCCUGCUUCCCGCAGCCCCCUCCCUCCUGGCCGGAGCCCGACGGCUCCCCUCUCCCGGGCAAAGUGGGGGCCGCCUUCCAAGGUGACGGGGCCCCGACGACGCGCGCCCGGCCCGGGCAGGGAGGCCGCCCCCCGCCCCCCGCCCCCCACGGCGGCUCCCCUGCUUGCGGGCGCCGGGCCCUCGGGUGAGGCCGUCUCUGUAGGGGUCGCGGGCGGCGGGGAGGCGGGGGCGGGGUGCGCGGGGAGGCGGCAGGCCCCCCACGCUGGGCUCCCCACGCGCGGCUCCCCACGCUCGGCUCCCCGGCGGCCGCAGCAGGUGGGGGCCCGGGGGCGGGGCCGGCGCGGGGCGGAGCCGGCGGCGGCGGCGGCGGCGGCGGCUGCGGCGAGCGCGGGGCGGGGGCGGGGGCGGGAGCGGAGCCGGAGCCGGAGCCGGAGCCGGGGCGCGGGGCGGGGGGCGGGAGCCGCGAGCCGCGCAGUCCGGACGCCCGCGGGAGCUCGCCGCGCGCCGGGGCCGGGACCUGCCUGGCCGAGCGCGCCGGCGCCGCGACCUCAGACAAAGGCGCCGCCUGCGCCGGGGCCGCCGCGCUCUCGGGCUCCGCUCUGGGGGCCCCUUUUCCAGCUCUGUCACAGAGCUGAGGACGCUCUCACGCAGAACUGGAUCCUGGAGCAGAGAAGGCCCAGAGGUCGGUGAUUGCACCUGUCCUCGUGGAUCAGUCCGAUGUUACACCAGGAAUCCAGUGGAGGAAAUGUCAUAGGCCUUCGGAUCCACCUGCCCAUCUUAGGAUUUAAAAUCCUCUCUAGAACAUUCCUGUGAAAUCAUACUCAGACUUGUGACCACAGACGUUUACCUACCGCCCAUCCAUCUUGUGCUCCAGCUCCGUGACUACCCUUGUUUAGAUGCUCCUGACAUUGUAGCACCGAGUGCCAGAGCCCUCAUACCACCUGUGACAGAUUGUUGCCUCUCCUGGAACAUGUCCCACAGCAGGGAGCUCACUGCUUUGUGAGGAGCCGGCCAUUCCUUUGGGCGAGAGCAUGCACUUACUUGCAAACUUUCUUCUUUGAGCCUGAAACUAACUUUCUUUCUUUCUCUUUCUUUCUUUCUUUCUUUCUUUCUUUCUUUCUUUCUUUCUUUCUUUCUUUCUUUCUUUCUUUCUUUCUUUCUUUUCUUUCUUCUUUCUUUCUUUCUUUCUUUCUUUCUUUCUUUCUUUCUUUCUUUCUUUCUUUCUUUCUUUCUUCGUUUCUUUCUUUCCUUUCAUUUUUAUUUAUUCCUGAGAGACAUAGAGAGAGAGAGAGGCAGAGAUACAGGCAGAGAGAAAAGCAGGCUCCAUGGAGGGAACCUGAUGUGGAACUCAAUCCCAGGACCCUGGGGUCAUGCCCUGAGCCAAAGGCAGAUGCUCCACUGCUGAGCCACCCAGGAGUCCCCUGAAACUUUCUUUUUUUUGAUCUGUAAGUAAGGUGUGUGCAUGUGUGCUCCCUGCAGCCCUUUUUACCCCCUGCACCAAAUCCACCUGUAUCUCUAGCAUUAACAUGUUCAGCUCCCCUGACCCUUCGCGUGGUGACACCCCCGUUCUGCUGGUCAUCAUUGUCUGAGCUUCUUUGGCUUUAAAGAAGGUAUACUUACCCAAGUGAGUAAACCAAACUAGUUACAGUACCCUGCACCUGCUCUCACUAUACUCCCCCCACCCCCCUUUAUCCCUCAUUUCACUUUUAAAACUGAACAGGAUACCCUGAAAAAGGGCUUGAGUGAUGUGGGGGAAAAUAAGAGGAGGAAGAUACACAGGCUCUGAAGUCAUAUUUUUCUUCAUAUAGGUCUGUGGUAAGAUGGCUUUUGCCAUGGUGAUUCCGAUGUUAAUCUGGGGUCCUCUAAGACCCUCAGGCCUUUUCCGGUGGCCAUGCCUGUCCUUUGUAUCUCAUAAUAAAACUGAGGGUAAAGGCUGUGUCUUUUAUUUAUUCCUGCUAAUUUCCCUUGUCUUGGAGGACACUUGUGUUUUUGAAUUAUCUCUAAAAUGUAUCGCGGUGCUUUUAAAAUCUCUAUCUGUAGAGGUGUUAGAGACCACAAGUAACGAGGAACCAUUUACAAGCCUGACAAGGAAACAUUUGCUCGGCUUAUGAGAGCGUCAUCAUCGUACUGGGGUGAGCCCAUGUGGGACAGGUGCUUGAAGAGAUAGAUUAGGAUUUAAAAAAUCCCAAACCUGGAGAGAAAAUACAAAGACUGUGACCUAUAAAAAUACUGUCGGAAAAAAAAAAAAAAUACUGUCGGAAAGCCAGUGUGCAGGGGCGCCUGGCUCAGUGGUUCAGCAUCUGACUCUCGGUGUCACCUCAGGUCAUGAUCUCGGGGUCAUGAGCUCGAGCCCCGCUUCUGGCUCGGCACUGGUUAUGCAGCCUGCUCGAGAUUGUCUCUCUCCCUCCCCCUUUGUCCCCACGCCCCCAAAAAAGAGAAAGUCGGUGUGCUGGACACUUGCCGUCUCAGGCUCCGGGCGGGGUAACUGCCUCCCUACAGCAUGUCUUUCUGCGCCCCAAGGAAGCUAAAGUCUGCACGUUACCACUGCAAGCAGGUGAAUAUAAGUGCAAAAUGUCUUAUUCUAAUGAGGAUGCCCCCCCCCCCCCCCCGCAAAGAGAAAGAGGUAUUUGAAGGAUCUUUCGAGUCGACAUAAAAACUCGACCUUCUGUGAACCUGGGUUAACAUCCAGGCAGAGCAUCCUGGCCUAAGGGGUACGAGCUCCUACAUGCUGUACCGGGCAGUCUGCAAAUAGGGUAUUUGUUACUCCUUCAUUAGAAGGAAUGAAAUGAUCAGCCAUGGGCUGUUUUUCUGUGAGUCAUGAUGUCUACUCAGCAGGUGAACGGGCUCAUCAGGUCCCGGGCGUUCACAUGACGCUGGACGUGGGCUCUGACUGCCCCAGGGAGGUGAGUACAGCUCGGGGGUCUCUGGUGGCUGCCCUCCUCUCCAGUCUUGCCAGUGGUUCUUUCUCCCUCGGUGCAGCCAACACACUCGCCCUCAGGGAAAUUUCUCGUUUGUAGCCAUGGUGGCCUUUUCCCAGAGCCGGGAAUGUGAGCUCCCUCUCUCCUCCCACAGUCCUUUCUCUCUGCCUGGCUGGAGGCUGGAGCCAUGGGGGCCUGGCAGGAGAGGAGGCUGGGCCCUGCCGCCAGCUGCCGGCUGUGAAGCAGAGCUGGGUCCUGGCUCUCCCGGGGAAUGCAGGCUGUGCGGCGGCGUUAUUUGGCUUGGCAGACGUCACCAUGCAUCUCACUUUUGCUGAGGCCUGAUCACUUGCUGAAUAUUUAUUUGUCCUGAGGAUUAUUUAGUUAUCCUCAGGAAUCUGGGCUCUCUGGCCAGCUUUUCUCCUUUGUCCUGGGUUCCCGAUGGGGAAUGUGACUGACCCCUUCCUUCUCUUUUAGGACGGAUCUCAGUGAUCAUCCAGUUGGAAGCAUUACAAGCAGAAAGCAAAAGGGAACCCAGGAGGAUGUGGGACUUUUGCUAAAAGACAGCCGCAGAGCUAAGACUAGAACUUGGAUCUUCUGAUUGCAAACCCAGAGUUCUUUCUAGAAUCUCUCAGACUUCUGGGCGUAUAAUCCCCUGAGGAACUUACUUAAUAAGAUGCAGACUCUUAGGUCCCCUCUUUGGAAAUUCUGGCGUGCAAUCUGCCUGUGGAAUGCGCCUCUUUACAAUCCGAGGUGCCCUGCGUGCACUAAGAUGAAACUGGCUUCUCAGCAUUUACUUUGUUUGUUUGCACACGGGGCGGGAAGUGGGGCUACAUAGUUCACUAUGAAGAUCACUCUGCACCCCUACUCAUUUUUCGGAAUCAGCACAAAGAACCAGAACGACACUAACAUAACUUAAAGGAAGAAGAAAAAUCCACCUGUAGGCCUCCCCGACCCCACCCCCCCCCCGCCCAUCUACUUUCCUUCCCCCUUUGGAGACGUUAUCUGUGUAGUUAGGUAACUAUCGACUUAAUCAUUAUGCCAUCUUAUUUUUACUUCUUUUGAGUCAAGUAGCCUUUUUGUUAUGGGACUUGCUAGGAAACAGGGUCCUUGGAGGCUAUUAAAGAGGAAGAGCAGUAUUUAAUUUUAUUGACCGCUCGUUACAUGACUGGAGCCUGUGUUCAGUGCUUUUGUAUGUGUUCACUCACUUAAGCACAUCACGGAGGCCCUAUGAUGACCAUUUUCCAGAUGGGCAAACCAAGCCUUGGAAGGGCUAAGUAGCUCGCACCUAGUUUUCUGGGUAGUUGGCAAUAAAGCUGAGAUUCAGACCCUCUGACUUCUUCACUGUGGGGCCUUCCAAACCUGCAGGCAGAGAGAGAAGAUGCCUGCCCCUGAGGACCUUUGGAUCCCAGGGAGGGAAAUGGACCUGGUCCUUGUGGCAGAGAGGUGCUGACAGGUCUGGGAGCAAGCGACUCUGUGAACUGAAAAGUCAGGAGAGCCUCAGUCCACCACAAAGUCAUGGAUUUUGGCCGACUCCCCACGCUGACCGUUUGCUUUAGCCGCUAAAGGUUUGAGGUUUGACUCUUGUCUCCAUCCAGAGCUGGUGGUCAGCGCCACCAGGAGCCCACACAGUGGCAGAGAGGGAUGGCGAGCUGGAGAAUUGAGCUCUUGAUAAUUCAGGUACAGAUGCCGCCAGGAGCAGAGUUUUCCCUGGAAGUGAAACCUGCAUUGUCCCCGGUAGGCUGGCUCUUGCCAACACCUUUCUUAAGAUUUCCCUGGAGUUUCUUCAGUUUCUUUCUUUGCCAAGUGUGCACGAGACUUUAUGUCUGUGGUGUCCAUGUGGCACAACGUUAGAGAUGCCAUCAUUCGAAGAGCAACUCCUUCCCGCCCGGAUGUCCACCGACACUUACUGCCCGUGUCCGGCUCUGAGUCCCCGCUGUGGGCCGUUGAGGGCCUCUGGGGAGACAGGAUGUGCGCAUAGUACCAGUUAACCCUGGAGUCCACGGUGGCCUCGGGGGACU